UAUACUUGCGUAUGGUACGCAGCCCACGAACAUUUUCUAGAGAUUUACUUACUGCAAUAAGUACCACAACCAACCACAGAAUAAGGAUCCAAAUUAGCAGAAGCCGGACCGCCGUCAUUGUCAAACACCGCCAGAGUUGAACUGAUUCGUAUCCUUAAGCAGCUCUUGGUCAUUCGAGUGGCCCAGCCUGCGAAAGGGUAUCGUCUCACCCUCGAUCUCCAUGUAAUCUUCGACGAUGGACCGCAGCUCGACCGGCGGCUUAGCUGAUGGGAUCAGGGCCCUGACCACAUUGGCCACGUUUCCCAGGACCUCCUGCUUUUCCAUUGCGCUCGUUCAACGAUUCAAAUUAUUAAUAAAUUCAAUUCAUAAAUACCCAAAAGACCGUCAACAGCUACACAACAUAUGCAUGCCUUCUGCAUACAUAUUUAUAUGUAUAAAUUACCGACAGUACCGACAACAUCAUCUUACGGAUCACCAUCAACUCAAGUAAUGCGGGGAAUAGCUGUUUUAAGGGUAACAACUGUCGUUCGGCUCAUGAGCCCUUUGCUCCAAAUGGCGCCACCAAGGAUGUCGAACUAGCUAGAGCUCUUCCGGAGACAAUCUUUGAUACACCAGUGCCUCUUGAAAUCGGCAGCACUGUCAGCAUCCUGAUCACCUUCAUUAAUGGACCCACCGAGGUAUAAGGCCAGUUUUUGCCGGAUCUCCGCCGUUGGUGUGGAACAAAAUGGAUGUGCCAGAGAACAAACGGACGUUCAAGUCGAAUCCGCGUCUUCUCGACACUGUACUUGCUCUCUACAGUGAUGGUUGCUUCCAUCGCGCCCAAAUAAUCGAUGAAUUUUGAAUUGAGAGCUUAAAAGGGAAGCAACGUGAUUAAAAAGAUUGUUACAGACCAAGACAACACUAAUAAAGCAGGAAUAUAGUGUUAUUCCAAAAAAUCCAAACCCGAGCUGAAGAAACGACUGAAGACGCGAUAAUAAAAAUAAAUCCGUAGCGACAAUAGCACUCACCAAUAGCACUCAUAAUCGCAAUAUUGAUCAUUGAAUCAUGCGAAUUCUACAUAAUUAGAUUUCUAAUUUUAUGGAAGUCAAUGAAAUGAUAAUACUUACAUACAAUAAAUAUGCUAACAUGAGA
Drosophila sechellia is the source of this 1131-nucleotide long non-coding RNA. RefSeq lists it as uncharacterized. The transcript is spliced from 2 exons. The record is from RefSeq and is a predicted model, not a curated record. NCBI's taxonomy places the organism in Eukaryota, Metazoa, Arthropoda, Insecta, Diptera, Drosophilidae.